RNAcentral lists this ribosomal RNA (350 nucleotides) under Rhipicephalus haemaphysaloides. RNAcentral's name for it is "partial 16S ribosomal RNA". Lineage: Eukaryota; Metazoa; Arthropoda; Arachnida; Ixodida; Ixodidae. The record is from RNAcentral.
GGUAUUGAAUAAGAUUUUAAUUGAAUGCUAAAAGAAUGGAAUUACAGAAAACAGCUUUUUUUAAAUUAAAAAUUGAAUUUUUUUUAAUUUGUGCAGAAACAAUUAUCAAUAUUAAGGACAAGAAGACCCUAUGAAUUUAUAAAUUUAUAAAAAUAGUAAUGACUAUAAAAUAAAUUUUGGCUGGGGCGGCAAAAAAAUAUCAUUAACUUUUUGAAAAUAAAAUGAUCCAUUAUUAAUGAUUAUAUGUUAAAUACUCUAGGGAUAACAGCGUUAUAUUUUUUGAUAGACCAUAUUGACAAAAAAGUUUGCGACCUCGAUGUUGGAUUAGGAUACUUUUUUAAUGAAGAUAU